CUAGAAUAUGACAGGCCAAAUGCGUUUGUUCGAUCUCAGUAACGCCUUCAGACUCGAUAUCCCUUUAUCUUAAAUUAUUGUGGGUGCUUUUCAACAUAAUGAACGCAUCUUCAGUUCUUAUCACCUUUUCAUACUACACAUUUUUGGAAGCAAACAUGCGUGCAAGGAGUAUUAACAAACAUCUGAUUAAUUCUGUGUUCACAGUUCUGAAUAUUUUUAUCACCGACAAACCUGUACGUUUUUUGCAUAUGUUUCAUCCUGCCGUUUUCG
This is a long non-coding RNA of Saccostrea echinata, 270 nucleotides long. RefSeq lists it as uncharacterized. NCBI's taxonomy places the organism in Eukaryota, Metazoa, Mollusca, Bivalvia, Ostreida, Ostreidae. The record is from RefSeq and is a predicted model, not a curated record. The transcript has 3 exons.